Molecule: ribosomal RNA, 497 nt
Filed under: uncultured bacterium
Lineage: Bacteria
Description: partial 16S ribosomal RNA
Rfam family: Bacterial small subunit ribosomal RNA
Source: RNAcentral
GAUGAACGCUGGCGGCGUGCCUAAUACAUGCAAGUAGAACGCUGAAGCUUGGUGCUUGCACCGAGCGGAUGAGUUGCGAACGGGUGAGUAACGCGUAGGUAACCUGCCUCUUAGCGGGGGAUAACUAUUGGAAACGAUAGCUAAUACCGCAUAAAAGUCGAUAUCGCAUGAUAUUGAUUUGAAAGGUGCAAAUGAUUCACUAAGAGAGGGACCUGCGUUGUAUUAGCUAGUUGGGGAGGUAACGGCUCACCAAGGCGACGAUACAUAGCCGACCUGAGAGGGUGAUCGGCCACACUGGGACUGAGACACGGCCCAGACUCCUACGGGAGGCAGCAGUAGGGAAUCUUCGGCAAUGGGGGCAACCCUGACCGAGCAACGCCGCGUGAGUGAAGAAGGGUUUCGGAUCGUAAAGCUCUGUUGUAAGAGAAGAACGAGUGUGAGAGUGGAAAGUUCACACUGUGACGGUAACUUACCAGAAAGGGACGGCUAACUACGUG